CCUACGGGAGGCAGCAGUAGGGAAUAUUGCUCAAUGGGGGAAACCCUGAAGCAGCAACGCCGCGUGGAGGAUGAAGGUUUUCGGAUUGUAAACUCCUUGUGUUAGAGAAGAGAAGGACGGUAGCUAACGAAUAAGCACCGGCUAACUCCGGGCCAGCAGCCGCGGUAAUACGGAGGGUGCAAGCGUUACUCGGAAUCACUGGGCGUCAAGAGCGCGUAGGCGGGAUAGCAAGUCAGAUGUGAAAUCCUAUGGCUUAACCCUAGAACUGCCUUUGAAACUGUUAUUCUAGAGUAUGGGAGAGGUAGGUGGAAUUCUUGUUGUAGGUGUUCAAUCCGU
Molecule: ribosomal RNA, 336 nt
Filed under: uncultured bacterium
Lineage: Bacteria
Description: partial 16S ribosomal RNA
Rfam family: Bacterial small subunit ribosomal RNA
Source: RNAcentral